Molecule: ribosomal RNA, 492 nt
Filed under: uncultured bacterium
Lineage: Bacteria
Description: partial 16S ribosomal RNA
Rfam family: Bacterial small subunit ribosomal RNA
Source: RNAcentral
AGUGAACGCUGGCGGUAGGCCUAACACAUGCAAGUCGAACGGCAGCACAGUAAGAGCUUGCUCUUACGGGUGGCGAGUGGCGGACGGGUGAGGAAUACAUCGUAAUCUACUUUUUCGUGGGGGAUCACGUAGGGAAACUUACGCUAAUACCGCAUACGACCUACGGGUGAAAGCAGGGGAUCUUCGGACCUUGCGCGAUUGAAUGAGCCGAUGUCGGAUUAGCUAGUUGGCGGGGUAAAGGCCCACCAAGGCGACGAUCCGUAGCUGGUCUGAGAGGAUGAUCAGCCACACUGGAACUGAGACACGGUCCAGACUCCUACGGGAGGCAGCAGUGGGGAAUAUUGGACAAUGGGCGCAAGCCUGAUCCAGCCAUACCGCGUGGGUGAAGAAGGCCUUCGGGUUGUAAAGCCCUUUUGUUGGGAAAGAAAAGCAGCAGGUUAAUACCCCGCUGUUCUGACGGUACCCAAAGAAUAAGCACCGGCUAACUUCGUG